UUUAUGGCUGGCUAUUGAUCAACUAAGUUUCCAUCUGAAAUGUCAUAUUUUAUUCAGAUAGAAGAACUGUUGGAGGAAUUCUGCUUAAAAAAAUUUCUUGUCCUGAUGUAUCAACACUGGUGCAGAGUCUACAACAAGCCUUGGCCCUUGAAGCUAAAUUCCAACCAAAGCUUCAACUUCUGUCAACAGCCAGCAAUACAGGAGAAAGCAGUGAAAUUAUGUGUGCAAUGAGGGAUGGAGCUGCUCAUUUUCUUCGCUGCUUGAAAGAAAAAUUUGUGUUGGUUUGAAGCCGAUCCGCCCAUCCAGUGUGUCUGCUUCCAAUCUCAAUCCUAUGACACCAGGAAGGCCUCAGUUGCCACGGACACCCAGACUUUGCUUCAAAGAAAAUGAUAAUUCAAGAUUUGGAACACAUGAUUUUCCAUCAACUCCAAAGUUUGGUCGUUCUGAAUCAACACCAGAACUUCACAGGAUAAGAAAGUUGGACCAAUCUCUUCACAUGGUUGAGAGAAACACCACUC
Molecule: long non-coding RNA, 518 nt
Organism: Daphnia pulicaria
Lineage: Eukaryota; Metazoa; Arthropoda; Branchiopoda; Diplostraca; Daphniidae
Exons: 4
Source: RefSeq, a predicted model, not a curated record